AGCGAAAUACGUUAAAACUUUCAACAACGGAUCUCUUGGUUCUGGCAUCGAUGAAGAACGCAGCGAAAUGCGAUAAGUAAUGUGAAUUGCAGAAUUCAGUGAAUCAUCGAAUCUUUGAACGCACAUUGCGCCCAUUAGUAUUCUAGUGGGCAUGCCUG
This 158-nucleotide ribosomal RNA is filed under the name Xylaria sp. XF1. RNAcentral describes it as "5.8S ribosomal RNA". It matches the Rfam family "5.8S ribosomal RNA". From Rfam's summary of the family: 5.8S ribosomal RNA (5.8S rRNA) is a component of the large subunit of the eukaryotic ribosome. The record is from RNAcentral. Lineage: Eukaryota; Fungi; Ascomycota; Sordariomycetes; Xylariales; Xylariaceae.